ACACUUCCAUAGCAAACCAAUAUUUCCAUUUCACCUACAAGGAAGAUCAACCCCUACAAAACCAGCAUACACUUCCACACAUCCAAUGGCAAACUAAUACUAUGUGUACAACAAAUUCCACAUAUCCAACACAUCCAAUGUAAAGUAUUAAAGUAUGUGUACAACAAAUUCCUCCACUAAUACACACUUUCCACAUAGUACUACAACAAAUACACUCUAAAGUCAACACCUAAAACACUACAAUACAACACCUAUUCAUAAACUACUACAAGCAGAAAACCUGAAAAUUAAAGUAUGUACAACAAGUAGUACUAGAAUCUCGUAGCUUAUAUAUUAAAACAAUUAGUAUUAGUACUAGUAACUUAUAAACUACAAAAAAAAGUGUAAAAGCUUACAC
Molecule: long non-coding RNA, 397 nt
Filed under: Cucumis sativus (cucumber)
Lineage: Eukaryota; Viridiplantae; Streptophyta; Magnoliopsida; Cucurbitales; Cucurbitaceae
Description: long non-coding RNA (CSAT_LNC003011)
Source: RNAcentral